Helianthus annuus (common sunflower) is the source of this 893-nucleotide long non-coding RNA. RefSeq lists it as uncharacterized. The transcript has 2 exons. The record is from RefSeq and is a predicted model, not a curated record. Lineage: Eukaryota; Viridiplantae; Streptophyta; Magnoliopsida; Asterales; Asteraceae.
UCAUCUUCAUUUGUUAACGGGGCGGUGCCUUCACCCAUUCAACCCACAUAUAAGGCGAUGGUAGAGAGAGGAAUGGACUAACAACGGUGGAUUGUGGUAACGGAGGAUCCGCCGCUGCUGGAGACCGUCUUGUCCAAUCUGCGACUAUUCGAGCUUGGUCUUUCUCUACAUGUCAUUGAUUUUCUUGGCCAAGCGACUAUUCAGUGGAGGCCCGCCGUUGUCGGCGGCCAUUUGAGGCCAUUUUCUAGCGGCGAUGGUUAUUUCAAGGAGGCCCAUUGUUGCGGCGGCGAUUAGAGCCCGUUUUUGGCAGGGGUGAGCUUCAGAUUUUUCCAUGGUAUGGCAGCAAGAAGAGUACUGAAGCAGAGUGCAGGAGGAAGUGGAUGGUCUGGUGGCGGUGCAAGUAGCGGAGGUGGUGGAAGUUUGGGCAAGAAAAGUAACAAUGGUUUUGGCUCAGGUGAUACCUAAGUGGUUGCAAAUGACGGAUGGGGUGGCCCUAAAAGAGUACUAAAGCGAUAGGAAAUGACGGUGGCGCCGGUUGGGAACAGAAGAAUAACGGAACUUCUGGUUCAGGUGGUGAGGACAAAGAUGCUGCUAAUAGUGGGUGGGGAGACAAUGGUUAGGAGCAGAAGGACAAGGAUGCAAAUAAUAGCGGAUAGGGUAGCAGCAAGAAAAGUUCUGCUGGUUGGUGAUGCUAAUAAAGUAAUGGCAAAAAGAAUCCUUUUAACUGAUGUGUUCUAAGUAAGGUAUUCAUAUUCUGUUUGUAUAGGCAUAAAACCCUUCUUAUUUUAUUGUGACCGUGGUUUCAAAACUUGCUACUACGACAGCAAGACAGCACAAAAGUAAGAAAUGUCCAAAAUCUUGAUUGAUUUACAUGCUCUUAUAUGGUUUUUGUG